GAUGAACGCUCGCGGCAGGCCUAAUACAUGCAAGUCGAACGGGUGGUCGCAAGACCACUAGUGGCGCACGGGUGCGUAACGCGUAACCAACCUGCCCCGAUCUGGGGGAUAGCCCGCCGAAAGGCGGAUUAAUACCGCAUAUACCCGCAGCCUGGCAUCAGGCCACGGGGAAAGAUUUAUUGGAUCGGGAUGGGGUUGCGUGACAUUAGCUAGUUGGCGGGGUAAGGGCCCACCAAGGCGACGAUGUCUAGGGGACCUGAGAGGGUGAUCCCCCACACUGGCACUGAGAUACGGGCCAGACUCCUACGGGAGGCAGCAGUAGGGAAUAUUGGGCAAUGGGCGAGAGCCUGACCCAGCCAUGCCGCGUGCCGGAUGAAGGCCUUCUGGGUUGUAAACGGCUUUUCUCAGGGAAGAAAAAGACCUUGCGAGGUACACUGACGGUACCUGAGGAAUAAGCACCGGCUAACUCCGUG
RNAcentral lists this ribosomal RNA (473 nucleotides) under uncultured bacterium. Its description in RNAcentral is "partial 16S ribosomal RNA". It matches the Rfam family "Bacterial small subunit ribosomal RNA", at positions 28 to 507 of the family's 1533-position model. The record is from RNAcentral.